AAGAAAAUGGCUUCAGCAUGCAUCAACCACCUUGCAGCCCAACCCUUGUGGAUUCUUCUAGUCUCAUCUCUUGGCUUUCUCUCCUUCCUCAAUCUCUCCCUCUCUUUUCUCAACUGGGUCUAUGCAACAUUUCUCAGACCACCAAAGAAUCUGAGAGAAAAAUAUGGCUCAUGGGCACUCAUCACAGGAGCCACAGACGGUAUAGGCAAAGCCUUUGCUUAUCAACUAGCUCAAAAAGGUCUAAACCUAAUACUAGUGAGCAGAAACCCCAGCAAGCUCAAAAAUGUCUCAAAUGAAAUCCAAGUAGAGUCUCCAGAUACCAAGAUCAAGACUGUGGUGUUUGAUUUUUCCAGGGAAAUGCAAAGUGGGAUCCAACUUAUAGAAGAGGCCAUUAAAGGGGUUGAUGUGGGUGUUUUGAUAAACAAUGUGGGUAUCACAUAUCCUCAAGCUGGAUUCUUUCAUGAGGUGGAUGAGCAAGUUUGGAUGGAUAUAGUUAGAGUGAAUUUGGAGGGCACUAGUAGGGUUACAAAAGCAGUUUUGCCAAGGAUGCUUGGAAGGAAAAGAGGUGCUAUUGUUAACAUUGGUUCAGGAGCUGCCAUUGUUGUGCCUUCACAUCCUCUCUUCACCAUCUAUGCUGCUACAAAAGCGUAGGAAAGAAUGAAUCCUAACCCUAGCUCUUUUAAAAAUUUGCUAUAUCCUAUGCUUACUCCUUAGAUUUGAUGGGCCAACAGAUUAUCACAAAUUUAAAUGUUAAUUAAAAUCAUAUAAAUAAAAAAGAGAAAUUAUAUUAAUUAUUUAUUGUAUUCAUAUAUUUAAUUUGUGAGUAAAUGUGUUUAGGGUUUAGGAGUGGGAAAAGUGUUUAGAAAUGUAGAUGGAUGGAUGUGUAAAGGCCAAAUGGUACAAAAACACUCACCACGCAUGCAAUUGUCAGAUUUUCUCAAUGAAUACUAUCCUCUUUCAGAGUCAAAUCUCAUCUUCUAUUGCUAUUCUCAAGAAUAUAUGUAAUCUCUGAAAAUUUGCAGGCUCGUAUUUAUUGAGAACUUACUAGGGUGAAUAUUGUAAUGCAGUUAUAUUGAUCAAUUGUCAAGAAGCUUGUAUGUGGAAUACAAGAGCUGCGGGAUUGAUGUGCAGUGUCAGGUGCCACUGUAUGUUGCAACGAAAAUGACAUCAAAGGUGGCAUCGAUAGAGAGAUCAUCACUGUUUAUACCAUCGGCAGAAGGCUAUGCAAAAGCAGCUAUCCAUAAAAUAGGGUUUGAAGGACGGUGCACACCCUACUGGCCUCACUCCAUUCAAUGGUUCUUCUGCCACCUCCUUCCUCACUCUCUUCUUGAUUCUUGGCGUCUCUCCAUUGGCAUCCGCCGCCGGGGGAACAUUAUUACUUGAUUAUGUCUAUAUAUAAUCUAUAUAUUAUUAGAUAAAAUUAUUAAUAAUAAUUACAAUCUUUAGCUUGUACUGUAGGACUUGUUGGCUGCUAUUUUUAAACUAUACGCAUUAAUACAUAUAAG
This 1505-nucleotide unclassified non-coding RNA is filed under the name Hevea brasiliensis (rubber tree). Lineage: Eukaryota; Viridiplantae; Streptophyta; Magnoliopsida; Malpighiales; Euphorbiaceae. The record is from RNAcentral.